AGAGUUUGAUCCUGGCUCAGGACGAACGCUGGCGGCACGCUUAACACAUGCAAGUCGAACGAGAGAAGAGGAGCUUGCUUUUCUGAUCUAGUGGCGGACGGGUGAGUAACACGUGAGCAAUCUGCCUUUCAGAGGGGGAUACCGAUCGGAAACGAUCGUUAAUACCGCAUAACAUAAUUGAACCGCAUGAUUUGAUUAUCAAAGAUUUAUCGCUGAAAGAUGAGCUCGCGUCUGAUUAGCUAGUUGGUAAGGUAACGGCUUACCAAGGCGACGAUCAGUAGCCGGACUGAGAGGUUGAUCGGCCACAUUGGGACUGAGACACGGCCCAGACUCCUACGGGAGGCAGCAGUGGGGAAUAUUGCACAAUGGAGGAAACUCUGAUGCAGCGAUGCCGCGUGAGGGAAGAAGGUUUUAGGAUUGUAAACCUCUGUCUUCAGGGACGAAAAAAGACGGUACCCGAGGAGGAAGCUCCGGCUAACUACGUGCCGGCAGCCGCGGUAAUACGUAGGGAGCGAGCGUUGUCCGGAAUUACUGGGUGUAAAGGGAGCGUAGGCGGGAUCGCAAGUCAGAUGUGAAAACUAUGGGCUUAACCCAUAAACUGCAUUUGAAACUGUGGUUCUUGAGUGAAGUAGAGGUAAGCGGAAUUCCUAGUGUAGCGGUGAAAUGCGUAGAUAUUAGGAGGAACAUCAGUGGCGAAGGCGGCUUACUGGGCUUUAACUGACGCUGAGGCUCGAAAGCGUGGGGAGCAAACAGGAUUAGAUACCCUGGUAGUCCACGCCGUAAACGAUGAUUACUAGGUGUGGGGGGACUGACCCCUUCCGUGCCGCAGCAAACGCAAUAAGUAAUCCACCUGGGGAGUACGACCGCAAGGUUGAAACUCAAAGGAAUUGACGGGGGCCCGCACAAGCAGUGGAGUAUGUGGAUUAAUUCGAAGCAACGCGAAGAACCUUACCAGGUCUUGACAUCGUAUGCAUAGCUCAGAGAUGAGUGAAAUCUCUUCGGAGACAUAUAGACAGGUGGUGCAUGGUUGUCGUCAGCUCGUGUCGUGAGAUGUUGGGUUAAGUCCCGCAACGAGCGCAACCCUUACUGUUAGUUGCUACGCAAGAGCACUCUAGCAGGACUGCCGUUGACAAAACGGAGGAAGGUGGGGAUGACGUCAAAUCAUCAUGCCCCUUAUGACCUGGGCCUCACACGUACUACAAUGGCUGUCAACAGAGGGAAGCAAAGCCGCGAGGUGGAGCGAACCCCUAAAAGCAGUCUUAGUUCGGAUUGUAGGCUGCAACCCGCCUACAUGAAGUCGGAAUUGCUAGUAAUCGCAGAUCAGCAUGCUGCGGUGAAUACGUUCCCGGGCCUUGUACACACCGCCCGUCACGCCAUGGGAGUCGGUAACACCCGAAGCCUGUAGUCUAACCGCAAGGAGGACGCAGUCGAAGGUGGGAUUGAUGACUGGGGUGAAGUCGUAACAAGGUA
This 1470-nucleotide ribosomal RNA is filed under the name metagenome. Its description in RNAcentral is "bacterial SSU rRNA". It matches the Rfam family "Bacterial small subunit ribosomal RNA". The record is from RNAcentral.